AGCUCCAAUAGCGUAUAUUAAAGUUGUUGCAGUUAAAAAGCUCGUAGUUGGAUUUCUGGUGGGAGGGAUCGGUCUUGCAUUCUUUGUAAGCACUUGUAUCCUCUCCGGCCAUCCUUGGGUGGAUCUUGUCUGGCAUUAAGUUGUCAGGCAGGGGAUGCCCAUCGUUUACUGUGAAAAAAUUAGAGUGUUCAAAGCAGGCUUAUGCCAUUGAAUAUAUUAGCAUGGAAUAAUAAGAUAGGGCCCGGGUACUAUUUGGUUGGUUUGCGUACCGAGGUAAUGAUUAAUAGGGACAGUUGGGGGUAUUUGUAUUCAGUAUUCAGUGGUGAAAUACUUAGACCUACGGAAGACAAACUACUGCGAAAGCAUUUACCAAGGAUGUUUUCA
This 384-nucleotide ribosomal RNA is filed under the name uncultured marine Chaetocerotaceae. RNAcentral describes it as "SSU rRNA". It matches the Rfam family "Eukaryotic small subunit ribosomal RNA", at positions 587 to 972 of the family's 1831-position model. The record is from RNAcentral. Lineage: Eukaryota; Bacillariophyta; Thalassiosirophyceae; Chaetocerotales; Chaetocerotaceae.